UCCUCGAUAGUAUAGUAGUGAGUAUCUCCGCCCGUCACGCGGGAGACCGGGGUUCGAUUCCCCGUCGGCGAG
RNAcentral lists this transfer RNA (72 nucleotides) under Dreissena polymorpha. It matches the Rfam family "tRNA". Rfam says of the family: Transfer RNA (tRNA) molecules are approximately 80 nucleotides in length. Their secondary structure includes four short double-helical elements and three loops (D, anti-codon, and T loops). Further hydrogen bonds mediate the characteristic L-shaped molecular structure. tRNAs have two regions of fundamental functional importance: the anti-codon, which is responsible for specific mRNA codon recognition, and the 3' end, to which the tRNAs corresponding amino acid is attached (by aminoacyl-tRNA synthetases). tRNAs cope with the degeneracy of the genetic code in two manners: having more than one tRNA (with a specific anti-codon) for a particular amino acid; and 'wobble' base-pairing, i.e. permitting non-standard base-pairing at the 3rd anti-codon position. The record is from Rfam by way of RNAcentral. Lineage: Eukaryota; Metazoa; Mollusca; Bivalvia; Myida; Dreissenidae.